GCAGGAUGCAUCAGGGGAGCCAUGUGAAGGCUCCGGCCUGCAUUACGGAUCAAGCUGGAGUCAGAAGCACUGCAGGCUUUCUGACAACACAGGUUGCUGUCCCCCAAUACCAUGCUAUGUGUAGAUGGAGAACCCGAGGCUCAGAAUCAGGUGUACAUACAAAGGCCCUUUGAGGACCCAGGAAAGCACCUAUCUAAAGUCAGGGAGAGAAACUUCUCCACAAACAAAUCCUGAUGGCUCCCAGACCAUGGACUUUUGGACC
Long non-coding RNA from Mastomys coucha (southern multimammate mouse), 262 nucleotides. RefSeq lists it as uncharacterized. NCBI's taxonomy places the organism in Eukaryota, Metazoa, Chordata, Mammalia, Rodentia, Muridae. The transcript is spliced from 3 exons. The record is from RefSeq and is a predicted model, not a curated record.